GUUGAGGAUGGCGGCGGGUAUCACCUUCCAGUCUCAGUCGUCUCUGCUGUUCCUCAGAUCCAUCCCGUCGUUGUCUAUCUACCGGUCCCCCGUCGCCAUUCCCAUCCGGAUUUCUCGCUUGGGAGGGUGCUUGAAAGCGUUUCCGUCAUCGGAGUCGAUCAGUUCGGAGAAGGGAUUAAGAGUCGGAGUGGGCGGCGGCGGAGGGGGUAGUAGCGGCGGCGGCGAUAGCGGAGGAGACCAAGGAGGGGAUCAAGAGGGCGAGGAGAAGACGACAGGCGGGUUGUCCAUGUCUCAGAAGCUCACCCUCGCCUAUGCUGCCCUCGUCGGAGUGGGUGGAAUUAUGGGAUACUUGAAAAGCGGGAGUCUGAAGUCAGCAGGUGCAGGAGGGCUGUCCUCUCUGGUGCUAAUUUACGUUUACUCGCAACUUCCAGUGAAUCCGGUUUUCGCAUCUUCCCUGGGUCUGGGUGUAUCUGCUGCGCUGCUUGGAGUGAUGGGGUCUCGUUUCAUCAAAUCUGGAAAGGUUUUUCCGGCAGGCGUAGUCUCGGUGGUCUCCUUUGUCAUGGUGGGCGGUUAUCUUCAUGGGGUUCUGCGUAGCCUGCACUAACGUAUGUCUGUUCUGCCUUUGCAAACCACUACAAGCUUCACGGGGUUCUGCGUAGCCUGCACUAGCGUAUGUCUGUUCUGC
This 685-nucleotide unclassified non-coding RNA is filed under the name Hevea brasiliensis (rubber tree). Lineage: Eukaryota; Viridiplantae; Streptophyta; Magnoliopsida; Malpighiales; Euphorbiaceae. The record is from RNAcentral.